This is a long non-coding RNA of Zingiber officinale, 5429 nucleotides long. RefSeq lists it as uncharacterized. Lineage: Eukaryota; Viridiplantae; Streptophyta; Magnoliopsida; Zingiberales; Zingiberaceae. The transcript is spliced from 4 exons. The record is from RefSeq and is a predicted model, not a curated record.
UCCACCUCCUCAUCCCCACGAUCUUCUUCCACUCCUAUCUCCUUCCUCCCUCCGCGAUCGACUUCCAUGUCGCCGCUGACCACACCUUCGCCUUCGAUUGCUCCAUGAUCGACUUCCAACGCCGUUAAGCUCGCUUAGGUUAUCUCAUACGCAGACAGAUCUAAUGAAGUAAUCGAGAUCUAAGAGUUGUUCAUGAAGUGCACACUGGAUUCCAUAUUCAAAAUAGUUUGGGGUAGAACUGAGCACGCUGUCCGGAUCAAGCAAAGAAGGGAGGGCUUUCGCGAAGGCCUUCGAUGAUUCAAGUGCUUAAGUGCUUGUGAGCUACUUUGAUGUGAUCUGGAAAGUCAAGAGGUUUUUGAAUGUAGGCUCAGAAACCCAAAUCAAGAAGAACCUCAAAGCCAUCGAUAAUUUCGACUACAAACUGAUUGAUGCAAAGAUUCAACAGAAGUCUAAACCACCUUAACCAUCCUCUUCCUUCAGUCCUCAAGUCUCCCUUCAAGCUCCUUGAUGGCCCCAAGAGCUCCACCGCCAGAAACUCAGAUGAGAUCGCCAAGCUAUUUCCUAACCUAUUUGGUCAGCCAUCGGCAAAGCUGGUGCUGGCCGGCUCGGACCCUUCAGAUUUGCCCUCAAGCCUGAAGAUAUGGGGUUGUAUUGUCUAGUGGCCAAGCUCCAGGUGGACACAAUGUGAUAUCUAGGAUGUUUGAUGAGCCUCUAUUUCGUUAACAUCUCGUGCUUGAUCUUACUUAUUCUUAAUCGAGGGCUUCUUGUUUUAUUUUUGUCAUUGCCAAGCUAUACUUUAUAUUAAUUAUAGUCAUUGUAAUUCUAGUUAUUCCAUGACGAAGAAAUAGACAAAAUCUGUUAGAUAAAGCUCCAAUGCUAGUUUGGAAACUAAGAGCAUUUACUUAUGGAUGCGUUAUAAUUAUAUCAAAAUAAUGUGAUCAGCAAUUGGAUUGGUAACACUGUAGGAGUCUUAAUGUGUUAAUUAUAUAUGUAUAUUGUAGUUGUAUGCCUAUAGGAGUCUUAAUGUAUACUGUAGGAGUCUUAAUGUGUUAAUUAUGUAUGUUGUAGUUGUUUAGCAGAUCUACUAUGAAAUGAUAGAUGCUCGUUCAACUAGAAAAUAUUACCACUUUAAUCUCAUAAACUUCUUACAAUAAAUUGAUACUAAAUAGUUUUCCAAUGUAAAAUAAAGAAAACCUCAUAAGGUGGAGAAAGUAUUUUGGAAAUGUCUUUCUUAUCAUGUAUUGUAGUGUGCUUGUGGAUCGAAUUGCCUUAGAGUGGAGGCUGCUCUAUGGAAGGAUAUUCAAAAUAGUAGUAAUUCUUUUAGAAAAGAGUGCCCAGGUCUUGCUGUGGAAUAUGGGCAAAUCUCUGAAGCAUACAAGUAAGUCCUUCCAGGCUAAUGGUUUUCUUAUGUAGUCUUAUUGCCAAUGGUUAUUUCAAACUUGUGCAAUUUUCUUGUUGGCAAUACUUUACUUUGAAUGCAGCCAUUUGCAUCUUGACUUGUUUCUUUUCUACCUUUACAUUAGAUGUUGUGAGCUACAUUUUUUUAUGCUUAUUGCUUGAUUAUGCUCAUAACUAUUCAGAUAUAAAUUGCAGUAGCAUUUAUUCAUAGAAAUGUUUGAUAGCUGUACGUUGGCCAACAAUAUUGGUAUGCUAAUGUUUUUCAUUGUAUUAAAUAACUCAAUGAUGAAUGACUUAGAAGGGAUAUAUGUUGUCUAUUAAGAUAAAUCAUGAGCUAAUAGAAAAGUUGGAUUAAGAAAAACCUCUUGAGAAAUAAAUACUAGUAAAUGUGUCGAUGGACCAUUGGCAGGGCAUAGGUCUAUUUAGCCUUGGCCUAAUGUGACAUCACCUCUUGAGAAGUAAAUACUAGUAAUCAAAUAUAUUUGAUUACAUAUUGGCUUGUUAUUUCACCUAACAUACACCAUCCGUAUUUCAUUUAAUUAAUCUGCAGACAGCGGUUGUCAGCAAUCCAGUUAUGCUGCUUGAUGAAAUUGAUAAAAUGGGUUCUAAUAUCGAGGGGAUCCAACAUCCGCAUUGUUGGAAGUUCUUGAUCCCGAACAAAAUAAAACUUUCAAUGAUCAGUAUCCUCAAUUAUGCUACUUGCUAAAUUUCUAUUAUGUACAACUUCCCUACUAGCUGGAAGGAUACAUUUAGUAAAAUACUAUUUAAAUGAGUGUCUUUUCAAUUCUCAUGUUAAUCUAAUUAUUUCUUAAUUGCUUUAUUGCAAAAAUUCCAUAACUUGUUUUUCAGUUAUUUGAAUGUUCCUUUUUAUCUAUCAAAGGUAAUUUUUGUUGCAACUGCAAAAAGAAUUCAACCCUCCUCCACUCUUAGAUCGAAUGAAAGUCAUUGAGUUUCUUGGCUAUACACCUGAAGAAAAACUAAAGAUAGCUCUCAAGCAUCUUACACCACGAGUCUUAAAGCAGCAUGGAAUAAACUCUUAGUUCCUUCAAAUUCCUGAGGCAUAUUUUCAUCAAAUUUAAUUUUGUUAGAUUAGAAACAAACUUCUUCAAAUACUAAAAUUUUUAUUAAGGUAUCUAGUAUGAAAGUUUUAACAAUUUUAGGCAUAAAAAUGUUUUUGCUCACUAGAAAUCAAACUAUUUAAUAGUUUCUUUUAUAGUUUGGAUCUUCUUUAGUAGCAUAUGACAAAGAUGAUACUACUAGUAAUUCCGCAUUAAAAAUUCUAGUUUUUCUUUAUGUUCUCUAGUAGAAUUCUAAUUAUGUAAAAACAAGUCAUUUGAAUAGUAACAUAACUUUUUUAAUCACUUAGAAUGUACAUGGAACUUAAAUCACGUGCCGAUUUGCAAAUAUGUAUCCCAUAGGUAGAGAUAAAAUGCUUAGUUUGUUCAUGAAGACAAGAAAACUUGAGCACGCCUAUUUAUUUGUAGAUUAUGUAAAUAUGUGAUUAAAGGUCAGAUAAAAUUUGGCAUGAAUAAAUGUAUGUGUGUAUAAUAAUAUCAUUUUAUGACUUUUUUGUUGUCUAUUUCACAAAAGUUCCUAUGAUUCACAAAGUCUUAAUCAGCCCAUAUAUCUGGAAUAUCACGCAUGACUUCUAGUUGUCCAUGCACUAUGCUCCUUAUUAGUCUAAUUUAAAGGUACAUUUAUGAUCUUCUGGAGUACCAUUAGGAAAAUGUUGUGAAUAUUUAUUAUAACUUUUCCUUGUAUAUUAGACUACAUAUUUGAUGAGUAGGAAAUUUAGGUAUUGAAACUCUUUUUGUAUCCUCUUAAUGUUUCUUAAGAAAAAUGUAAAUAUAUCCUCUUUACCCCAACCAUAUAUAGAUUCAAGUCCAAAAAUUAAACCCAGGUUGAAUAAAUAUUGAUUUCAGAUAUGAUGAAUGACUUGAUCUGAUCCGAAUAUUAGAUCUAGGUUGAAUAAAUAUUGAUUUUAGAUAGGAAGAUGAUGCAUGACUUGCUUUGAUGAUUUAAGAUUUGAACAUAGGUUAAACUCACCCAAUAGUUUUAUCUGUCCUCUCAAUAACUAUCUGCAACUAGAAACAAUCAUGAAUCACUGAAAUUUUCUAUAUUCAUAUAAAUAAUAUAUUCUCAUUGGAUAGAUUACAAAUAAUUGAAGGUUCGAGCAACCUUGUUUAGUGUACAAGGUUUUUCAUGGAGUUUUCAAAGUUAAAAAAAAACAAGCUAAUAGAUAACGGUUUUAAAAAACUAUUGUCUUUGACAUAUAUAAGACAACAGUUUUUAAAAAAUCAUUGUCUUUGACAUAUAUAAAAAAAUAAUUUUUUAAAAAUUAUUGCAAUGACAAUAGUUUUCAAUAAAAUCAUUGUUAAAUAAAAAAAUAAUAAUUUUUCAAAAAAUCGUUGUCUAUUAGGUGUUGUUGAAUCCUAAAUUUCUUGUAGUGAAUGUCACAUAGGGCUCUAAAAUUACUAUCAAGUGUGUUACAAAUGAUCUCAAUGCCUUUAUUUUGUAUUUGUUGAUUAACUUAGUUUCAAAACAUCCCACUGAUUAAAUAGAGUCAAAUAAUUAUUGCCCAUCUCUCUUUGCUUUCCUUUCUUGCAAUUUCAGGCACACAUUUGCCACUUUAUCCCUUUUUAUUUCUUUAUGUUGGAAUGGAUGCAUUGGACAUCGAAAAAUGGAGGUUUGUUAAUAGCUGAUAUGGUUUGGAAAAAAACAUUGCAGGUGUCUUGAUAUGAAACAAGUUCAUGAAAUUUGUAGGACUCAUGAUAAAACCAUAAACACCUACAAGUACUAAUAAUAUAGGACUUAAUCUACUGCACCUAAUACCUAAUAACAUUUCUGAUUCUCUUUCCUCCAACUAAUAUUGAUUCUAAUGUAACAUUCAUGUACUUCUUUUAGCCCUGGGAAAUUAGUUUAGAUCAGCUCAAUCUUGUUAGGGCUAGUUUUGGUUAGUCGAGCUGCUUUUGUAUCUCCAUUCUCAUUUCUAUCCAACCUAACAAAGAAAUCUCUAGAUGAUAGAAUCAUUUUCAAACAACAAGUGUGUAUAAAAUCAUUUUCACUAAGUUCAUUAGAUUGAUUCAGUAAUAAUUUCAUACAAAUUUAGAUAGAUUACAAUAUGGUGGGUAGGUCUCAUGAGAGGUGCAGUGUCCAUAACACUUGCUUAUAAUCAGGUUAUCAAAUUUGAAGUUUUUUUUAUAUAUUUUUUCAUGAUAGAUCAAUUAAUAUUAAAUAAGGAGGCAUAAAUGCUUUCCCUGAUUUAUUAUAUGUCUAGUUCAAUCAAAAUAGUAAUGUUACAUUAUAAUACAUUUUUAUAUAUUCAACUGACGUUUAGCAUGAAUUUUUUGUCACACUGCAAUUCUUUUGAUAAUCUAAUUCAAAUAGAUGAUUUGAUGAACGAAGGUAUUUUCAAUUUUCAUUUAAUUUAAUAAAUUUUGAUAGUAUAUCUCUAUUGAACUUACAGUUUGCAAGAUCUGGACACACCCAACUGCGAGCAAAUGCAAUUAUGAUCACUAGAACUAUCUUUGUUGUGCUCUUCAGCACUAUGGUUUUUGGAUUGAUGACAAAGUCACUCUUGAGAUUCUUAUUGUCGCAUAAUCCAAAGCACUUCAGCAACAUGUCCGUUAAUCAAUCAACCCCCAAAUCUCUCCUAUUGUCGUUCAUGGAGAAUGGACAGGAUUCGGAAGAUGAAAUAGGGGAACAUAUAGCUCAACCAUCCAAUCUUAGACUACUCCUCACAAAACCAACUCACACGGUACAUCUCCAUUAGCAGAAGUUCGAUGAUGCAUUCAUGCAUCCAUUUUCUUGAGGAUGCAAUAGAAAGUAUAGUCGCUGGUUAUUUAAGUUUAUAGUUUGGUAUGACUGAUAUAGAUUUUAUUUAUUUUAAAGUCAUAUACUCUUUUGUAGGAAAGAAAUUAUGUUACUAAGUGAAUUUUUUGUUACUAGUUUGGAUUUUUUUACUUAAGUGUGAUGUUUAUGGUUGAAUGUGAUAUUAUAAUUGCUUGAGUUUGAUUGGAUAAUUAUGUGUA